GCAUUGAUAGUGUAGGGGUAUCAUGAGUCGUUGCCAUCGACUCGACCGGGGUUCGAGUCCCCGUCAAUGCA
Molecule: transfer RNA, 71 nt
Filed under: Sporisorium scitamineum
Lineage: Eukaryota; Fungi; Basidiomycota; Ustilaginomycetes; Ustilaginales; Ustilaginaceae
Also listed under: 9 other names
Description: tRNA-Gly (GCC) (tRNA-Gly-GCC-1 1 to 5)
Rfam family: tRNA
About the family: Transfer RNA (tRNA) molecules are approximately 80 nucleotides in length. Their secondary structure includes four short double-helical elements and three loops (D, anti-codon, and T loops).
Source: RNAcentral